GCAGUGGUGGUUCAGUGGUAGGAUUCUCACCUUCCGUGUGAGAGACCUGGGUUCAAGUCCCUGCCAAUGCA
Molecule: transfer RNA, 71 nt
Filed under: Loxodonta africana (African savanna elephant)
Lineage: Eukaryota; Metazoa; Chordata; Mammalia; Proboscidea; Elephantidae
Rfam family: tRNA
About the family: Transfer RNA (tRNA) molecules are approximately 80 nucleotides in length. Their secondary structure includes four short double-helical elements and three loops (D, anti-codon, and T loops).
Source: Rfam by way of RNAcentral